RNAcentral lists this ribosomal RNA (500 nucleotides) under uncultured bacterium. Its description in RNAcentral is "partial 16S ribosomal RNA". It matches the Rfam family "Bacterial small subunit ribosomal RNA", at positions 30 to 523 of the family's 1533-position model. The record is from RNAcentral.
AUUGAACGCUGGCGGCAGGCCUAACACAUGCAAGUCGAGCGGCAGCGGGACCUUCGGGUUGCCGGCGAGCGGCGGACGGGUGAGUAAUGCCUAGGAAUCUGCCUGUUAGUGGGGGAUAACGCGGGGAAACUCGCGCUAAUACCGCAUACGUCCUACGGGAGAAAGCGGGGGCUCUUCGGACCUCGCGCUAACAGAUGAGCCUAGGUCGGAUUAGCUAGUUGGUGGGGUAAUGGCCCACCAAGGCGACGAUCCGUAACUGGUCUGAGAGGAUGAUCAGGCACACUGGAACUGAGACACGGUCCAGACGCCUACGGGAGGCAGCAGUGGGGAAUAUUGGACAAUGGGCGAAAGCCUGAUCCAGCCAUGCCGCGAGUGUGAAGAAGGUCUUCGGAUUGUAAAGCACUUUAAGUCGGGAGGAAGGGCUGUAGGCUAAUACCUUGCAGUUUUGACGUUACCGACAGAAUAAGCACCGGCUAACUUCGUGCCAGCCGCCGCGGUAA